GGCGAGUGAAGCGGGAAAAGCUCAAAUUUGAAAUCUGGCAGCCUCAGGUUGUCCGAGUUGUAAUCUAUAGAAACGUUUUCCGCGCCGGCCCAUGUACAAGUCCCUUGGAACAGGGCGUCAUAGAGGGUGAGAAUCCCGUCCUUGACACGGACCACCGGUGCUUUGUGAUACGUUUUCAACGAGUCGAGUUGUUUGGGAAUGCAGCUCAAAAUGGGUGGUAAAUUCCAUCUAAAGCUAAAUAUUGGCGAGAGACCGAUAGCGAACAAGUACCGUGAGGGAAAGAUGAAAAGCACUUUGGAAAGAGAGUUAAACAGUAUGUGAAAUUGUUGAAAGGGAAACGAUUGAAGUCAGUCGUGUCUAUUGGACUCAGCCGGUUCUGCCGGUGUACUUCCUUUAGAUGGGGUCAACAUCAGUUUUGAUCGCUGGAAAAGGGCGGGAGGAAUGUAGCACUCUCGGGUGAACUUAUAGCCUUCCGUCGUAUACAGUGGUUGGGACUGAGGAACGCAGCAUGCCUUUAUGGCCGGGGUUCGCCCACGUACAUGCUUAGGAUGUUGACAUAAUGGCUUUAAACGACCCGUCUUGAACCACGGACCAAAA
Molecule: ribosomal RNA, 597 nt
Filed under: Solicoccozyma aeria
Lineage: Eukaryota; Fungi; Basidiomycota; Tremellomycetes; Filobasidiales; Piskurozymaceae
Description: eukaryotic LSU rRNA
Rfam family: Eukaryotic large subunit ribosomal RNA
Source: RNAcentral